RNAcentral lists this ribosomal RNA (424 nucleotides) under uncultured bacterium. RNAcentral's name for it is "partial 16S ribosomal RNA". It matches the Rfam family "Bacterial small subunit ribosomal RNA", at positions 359 to 776 of the family's 1533-position model. The record is from RNAcentral.
GAUCUUGCUUAAUGGGCGCAAGCCUGAAGCAGCAACGCCGCGUGUGUGAAGAAGGUCUUCGGAUUGUAAAGCACUUUAAGUUGGGAGGAAGAGUUGUAGGCUAAUACCUUGCAAUUUUGACGUUACCAACAGAAUAAGCACCGGCUAACUUCGUGCCAGCAGCCGCGGUAAUACGAAGGGUGCAAGCGUUAAUCGGAAUUACUGGGCGUAAAGCGCGCGUAGGUGGUUUGAUAAGUUGGAUGUGAAAGCCCCGGGCUCAACCUGGGAAUUGCAUCCAAAACUGUCUGACUAGAGUAUGGCAGAGGGUGGUGGAAUUUCCUGUGUAGCGGUGAAAUGCGUAGAUAUAGGAAGGAACACCAGUGGCGAAGGCGACCACCUGGGCUAAUACUGACACUGAGGUGCGAAAGCGUGGGGAGCAAACAGG